Molecule: ribosomal RNA, 413 nt
Filed under: Bacteroides fragilis
Lineage: Bacteria; Pseudomonadati; Bacteroidota; Bacteroidia; Bacteroidales; Bacteroidaceae
Description: bacterial SSU rRNA
Rfam family: Bacterial small subunit ribosomal RNA
Source: RNAcentral
GCGCUGGCCUGACCAGCCAAGUAGCGUGAAGGAUGACGGCUCUAUGGGUCGUAAACUUCUUUUAUAUAAGAAUAAAGUGCGGUAUGUAUACCGUUUUGUAUGUACUUUAUGAAUAAGGAUCGGCUAACUCCGUGCCAGCAGCCGCGGUAAUACGGAGGAUCCGAGCGUUAUCCGGAUUUAUUGGGUUUAAAGGGAGCGUAGAUGGACUGUUAAGUCAGUUGUGAAAGUUUGCGGCUCAACCGUAAAAUUGCAGUUGAUACUGGAUGUCUUGAGUACAGUUGAGGCGGGCGGAAUUCGUGGUGUAGCGGUGAAAUGCUUAGAUAUCACGAAGAACUCCGAUUGCGAAGGCAGCUCACUAAACUGCAACUGACAUUGAGGCUCGAAAGUGUGGGUAUCAAACAGGAUUAGAUACC